GAAUCCCUUGAUUUUCGAGCACUGUUCGUUUCCUCGGCGGGCCUGCCCGCCAGCGAGGACACCCAAAACCCUUUGCAAACGCAGUAUCUGUCUGAGAAAGCAAGCAAAAAUUAAAACUUUCAACAAUGGAUCUCUUGGUUCUGGCAUCGAUGAAGAACGCAGCGAAAUGCGAUAAGUAGUGUGAAUUGCAGAAUUCCGUGAAUCAUCGAAUCUUUGAACGCACAUUGCGCCCUUUGGUAUUCCAUAGGGCAUGCCUGUUCGAGCGUCAUUUAACCCUUCAAGCCUAGCUUGGUGCUGGGCGUCUGCCCCCGCGUACGCGCGAGGGCUCGCCUCAAAGUCAUUGGCAGCUGAGAUACCGGCCCCGAGCGCAGCACAAUGCGUCCUCGACCCGCGUAGCUCGGCGUCCACGAAGCCCAUUCUUCCUUUUUGACCUCGGAUCAGGUAGGGAUACCCGCUGAACUUAAGCAUAUC
RNAcentral lists this ribosomal RNA (471 nucleotides) under Dothideomycetes sp. HW-04. RNAcentral describes it as "eukaryotic LSU rRNA". The stretch from base 115 to 268 matches the Rfam family "5.8S ribosomal RNA". Lineage: Eukaryota; Fungi; Ascomycota; Dothideomycetes. The record is from RNAcentral.